CCUGCCGAUGGAGGUGGCGGGACAGAGUUUACCUGAGCUACCUGAGGUUCCCGCAGAGUGUGUAUCGGGCCCCUGGGCCCCAGGUAUGAAGUUAAAUCCACCAGAGAUUUGUGUCUCUUUGUGGACUCGGGAAGUAAAAAUCGGGCCCCUCUCACCUGGUCUUGAUGUUCCAGAGCUGCAGUGCACCCUGGGAGCUUCCCAGCAACACCUUGUUCAGGUCCGACCCGUGUCUCUGUGUCCCUGCAGAGGAGACUUCUGAUCAUGAGAAUCAAAUCCUUUAAGAUACAACUAAUGUCAGAAUCGGACAUUCGGGACAGAACCAGCUCCUGUUGACAUGCAGUUCAUUAACAUAUAGUGUGUCAUAACAUGUAGUAUGUAAUUGUUCCGGUGUCCAGCAGCAGAGUGGAUUUGAAACGAACUAAUCAAGAUGUGGUUGAAGUGCAGACUCUCGGCCUUAAUUCAAGGGGUUUAACAAGAAUAUCACGUCAACCGUUAUUUCAUGACAAAAUAAGCAGAUCCGGAGUUGUGUUGAAUAUGCCUUUGCCUUUGCUCGCUGUUCAUGGGUUAUUGAUGAUGUGGCCGCUGAUGGAAGCAGCAGGAUGAAUUCUGAACCGUACAGUUCUAAACCAUCUGCUCAGAUUCAGCCAAACGCUGCAAAACUGACCGGACGGUGCUUCACAGCACAGAUGGAUAAUGACCCAAAACACGCUGCGGAAGCAACCCGGCAGCUUCUCGGGGCAGAGAGAUGGAAUAUCCUUCGAUGGCCACGUCGGUCACCUGACCUCAAGUCAACAGAACAUGCUUUUCACUCCCUGAAGACAAAACUGAGGGCAGAAGGACCCACAGACAAGCGGCAACCGAAGGCGGCUGUCCAUGGGUUUCGGACCUCAGACAAGGGAUUUUCAUCCAGGAGCCGUCGGGGGACAAACAUGUCCUGAACAAACGUGUCUGUGAACGCACAGGAUUUAUUGAAGACGUCUCUGUCUCUGUGUAAAUAAAGUUAACGUUUCUUACGUUGUACGUGUGGAGACUUUUACCGACCGCCGUCACCAGGUAAAACUCCCGGUGCUUCUGGUGGUACCGGAGCGCGUGCGGCACGUGGUUUGAAUAAAGACCCAGAACCCGGAACCCGGAGAACAAAGUGCUGCCACUGCCCGCGAGACUCCCGCCACCCGACAUGUCCGGUAACCGCGGAGGACUUCACCGGAGAAAACACGAAAGAUAACGAAUAAACGGGCAGACCGGAGACACGGACUGAACGGAGACAGAAAACACGGGAGGGCCGAGGAACUGAGUCCGACCGGAAACAAGCAGCAACAACAAGAGAGUUCCGCUCUGAGGAAAAGUUUGGAUCCUUGUUCUUGAUUACCGCCUCCAGCCGGACGGAGCCUAGAUCCGGACUCUAGAUCCGGACUCUGGACUCUACACUGUGGCCAGUCUUGACCUCAGUGAUCAAUAAGAUCAAUUAAAAACCAAGAACAUAACAUUAUUCCAUCCUGUCUGAGGACGAACCAUGGCUCAGGAACA
Long non-coding RNA from Xiphias gladius (swordfish), 1527 nucleotides. RefSeq lists it as uncharacterized. The transcript is spliced from 3 exons. The record is from RefSeq and is a predicted model, not a curated record. NCBI's taxonomy places the organism in Eukaryota, Metazoa, Chordata, Actinopteri, Istiophoriformes, Xiphiidae.